This 492-nucleotide ribosomal RNA is filed under the name uncultured bacterium. RNAcentral describes it as "partial 16S ribosomal RNA". It matches the Rfam family "Bacterial small subunit ribosomal RNA", at positions 29 to 507 of the family's 1533-position model. The record is from RNAcentral.
AGUGAACGCUGGCGGUAGGCCUAACACAUGCAAGUCGAACGGCAGCACAGUAAGAGCUUGCUCUUACGGGUGGCGAGUGGCGGACGGGUGAGGAAUACAUCGGAAUCUACUUUUUCUUGGGGGAUAACGUAGGGAAACUUACGCUAAUACCGCAUACGACCUACGGGUGAAAGCAGGGGAUCUUCGGACCUUGCGCGAUUGAAUGAGCCGAUGUCGGAUUAGCUAGUUGGCGGGGUAAAGGCCCACCAAGGCGACGAUCCGUAGCUGGUCUGAGAGGAUGAUCAGCCACACUGGAACUGAGACACGGUCCAGACUCCUACGGGAGGCAGCAGUGGGGAAUAUUGGACAAUGGGCGAAAGCCUGAUCCAGCCAUACCGCGUGGGUGAAGAAGGCCUUCGGGUUGUAAAGCCCUUUUGUUGGGAAAGAAAAGCAGCAGGUUAAUACCCCGCUGUUCUGACGGUAGCCAAAGAAUAAGCACCGGCUAACUUCGUG